RNAcentral lists this ribosomal RNA (253 nucleotides) under uncultured bacterium. Its description in RNAcentral is "partial 16S ribosomal RNA". It matches the Rfam family "Bacterial small subunit ribosomal RNA", at positions 524 to 776 of the family's 1533-position model. The record is from RNAcentral.
UACAGAGGGUGCGAGCGUUAAUCGGAAUUACUGGGCGUAAAGCGUGCGUAGACGGUUAUUUAAGUCGGAUGUGAAAGCCCCGGGCUCAACCUGGGAAUUGCAUUCGAGACUGAAUAGCUAGGGUACGGUAGAGGGAAGCGGAAUUUCCGGUGUAGCGGUGAAGUGCGUAGAUAUCGGAAGGAACAUCAGUGGCGAAAGCGGCUUCCUGGACCAGUACCGACGUUCAGGCACGAAAGCGUGGGGAGCAAACAGG